CACUAAAUUAUAUUGAAAUUUGAAAUAUAUUUUAUUUAUUUAUAUUUUUUUUCCCAAAAAAAAGAAUUUUCUUUUAUUAUAUUUUCCAUUUUAUCUACCAAAACCAAAGUGAGAAGUUUUCACACAGUCACUUUAUUCAUUGUUUGGCCAUAAAAAGAAUCUUUCUUUUUCAUUCAUCAACUAGGUUAAGUUGAUAAGCUCUUUCUCUUUUUCUUUCUUUCCUUUAAUGCCUUUGGUGGCCUUGAAUUUACAGCCACAACAGCACCAAAAAGGACAGCUCCAGAGAAAAGCAAAGCAAUGGCUGAAACUAGACAUCUGUACUGGUCAAUCCUCGUGCCUUCUGCUUCUUGUAAAUGAGCUUGGAUUUGUAGCCUAGAUUGCCACUGGUAGGUUCUCUCAUCAACUAUUCUUUCUUUCUUCGCCUCUUAAUUUCUUCACCUAGGGUUCUUUGCAAGGUCUUUUUCUGUUACUGUUAGUGUUGGUACAGAUUCUUUUUUUAUUUUUUUAAAAAUCGUUUUAAGCAUAUGUUCAGAUUCUUAGCUCUUUCAGGAUUUACCCUUAUCACUGCUGAGAGUUUUCAAUAUAUUUCCAUUUACAGAAACAUUCUCCAGCAUGGGUGUACUUGCUAAUUUCCUCUUUAUCUUCAAUUUCUUUCAUGUUUUUUCCCCUUUAAUUACAGUAUUAGAAGAAAGAAAAAAAAUUCUUUUCCUCUUCUGCAAUUUCCAUUUACAGGACCAAAGUAUUUUUGAGCAAUGAGAGACCAUUGUAUGUACUGGGCUAAACUGCGAAUCUUUUUCUUGUGAGUGUUUCUACUUCCUUGAUUUGGUGGACGAUUGUCAUCCCAUUGAAAUUAUUCUGAAUUUAUUUGUUGUGAUUUUCUUUGUUUUCUUUACGAUACUGUUGUCUCACCCUUUUUUAAUCUAGUAUGCAAGUUUCUCCCCUUUGUUUCCUAGUUUAGUAGAACUCAGGGCAUGAAUGCACAGCUGAGACAAGUGGCAAGUGGGAUACUUGAAAAUUACUCUACUAAGACACAAGUUUGUCAAAUUGAUACAGCAAAUUGCAAAACUGUCACCAUGUUCAAAAAUGUGAUUAUGCACAUCUAUUUUGUGCAACAACUGAUCUGUUAUUUAUUGUGAUUACUUCUUAUGUUGGCUCGGUGUCUAAAUGCUUUCUAGUGCUGUUGCGUGAUGGAUUCGUGCAUAGUUGUUGAUGGUUUGCCCCUUUCUUCACUUGGUGAAAUCUUGAUUCUUAUUGUUCUCUUCCCGGCCGUUCCCCCACCAAAAAUUAGUGUCCCAACCUUUUCAGGGGUUUUGGAUAGUUCCACUGGGCUGUACAAGUUACUUGGAACUCGUUUGGCAUUGUUAUUUGAAUUGGUGUUAAAGCUUGGUUUUGAGUUAAAUAUGGCAUGUUAGCAACCUUUAAAGGGUGCCUUUCGUAAACCGAACGACCUUUGACCUGUUCCCUCUUAACUCACAUUUCCCUUCCUACCUUUCUCUUCCUCAUCGGUGUCACUCUCUGGUCACCUUUUGCCACAACUUAAAAACGUCACCUCUACUCCCUCCUCCUCCUCCUCCUCUUGAAUCCAAUAUCCUUUGAAAUAACACACUUUGAUCCCAAACACACCAGCACCUAUUGCUGGAAGUGUUGAAUUUAACAGCGUCGAUUACAUGGGCCAAGUUGGUCGAGCCACUUAUAUGUUGAGAAGGUGCCCAUCAGGAAUUCCAAAAUCAAACAUCUCUCCGAUUUCACUAAUUAUUUCUCUUUCUUCAUUGUCAUCCAAGGUCGUAACCAGUAUGGCUCUGGGCUCGCUUUCUUCCUUGUUCCUGCUGGAUCUCACAUUCCACUAAAUUCUGGAGAAGUAGGUUUUAUGGGCCUAAACAACUCCAACAUUUAUUCCUUCCUUAUUUUCUGGAUAAGGAAGAAGUAGGGUGAACAGACAACAGAGAAAAUGAACUUAACAUCAAUGAACGAUGAGAUUGAAAGAGUAGCAGGUCCAAGAAGAUAAUUCUUACCAGGAUAUUGUUUCAUCUACCAAAAACUUUUCGAGUUAAAGGAAGUUGGGUCAGGGAGGAUUUGGAUCUGUUUACAAGGGAUACCAUACCCCUUCGGGAAUUGCAUGAAGAAAAUAUCAAAGCGUUCAAAUAAAGAGGAGUAUGUGACAGAGGUGAACCCUAACCCCUACAUUAGAGAAAGAUGGGUGGCUAAAUUUGGACAAGGAAAAUUAAGCUAAAUUUGGAGCGGACUGAGAAGGGGGAGAGAAGGCUAGUUGGUUUAGUUGGAAUAGGAAAAGACAUUGAAGGCAGUAUGAAAUAAGAAUGUAAUUUUGUGGCUGUUCAAGGCUAAUAAGCGUUUAACCCAAAAGAAUUUCAUGUCUUCUUUUCUUAUGGAUGCUUGCUACACUUACAUCUAUAACACAUGGAAAGGAAGGAACAGCAAAUUGCAUCAAGAGAGUUGUCUAACUAAUAAGUAAUCAAAAUCGAGUUAACUAAUUUUAUCUAGUCUGACUUUGUUGAAUAACUACAGGUAUAACACUUGAUCUGAAGUAGAGCUAAGUUCUUGUUUCCUUUUACCUAAUGACAAUAUAACACAUGUAAAUGUUGAUUUAUUGUUUAAUUUUCAUUAUUAUUUAAAAUUUUUCUA
Long non-coding RNA from Hevea brasiliensis (rubber tree), 2640 nucleotides. RefSeq lists it as uncharacterized. NCBI's taxonomy places the organism in Eukaryota, Viridiplantae, Streptophyta, Magnoliopsida, Malpighiales, Euphorbiaceae. The record is from RefSeq and is a predicted model, not a curated record. The transcript has 2 exons.